AAAGUUAUCCAAACUCGGUCAUUUAGAGGAAGUAAAAGUCGUAACAAGGUCUCCGUUGGUGAACCAGCGGAGGGAUCAUUACAGAGUUGCAAAACUCCCUAAACCAUCGCGAACGUUACCUUGAACCGUUGCUUCGGCGGGCGGCGCCCCUUUUCGCGGGGCGCCCCUGGGGCCCGUUUCACCGCGGGCUGCCCGCCGGAGGUAUACAACCAAAAACUCUUGAUAUUUCUUUGGCCACUCUGAGUCUUCUGUUACUGAAUUAAGUCAAAACUUUCAACAACGGAUCUCUUGGUUCUGGCAUCGAUGAAGAACGCAGCGAAAUGCGAUAAGUAAUGUGAAUUGCAGAAUUCAGUGAAUCAUCGAAUCUUUGAACGCACAUUGCGCCCGCCAGUAUCCUGGCGGGCAUGCCUGUUCGAGCGUCAUUUCACCCAUCAAGCCCAAGGCUUGUGUUGGGGACCUGCGGCUGCCCGCAGGCCCUGAAAACCAGUGGCGGGCUCGCUAGUUCACACCGAGCGUAGUAGCAUACACAAAAAAAAACCUCGCUCAGGGCGUGCUGCGGGUUCUAGCCGUAAAACGACUUUUACAACCCCAAGGUUGACCUCGGAUCAGGUAGGAGGACCCGCUGAACUUAAGCAUAUCAAUAAGCGGAGGAAAAGAAACCAACAGGGAUUGCCCUAGUAACGGCGAGUGAAGCGGCAACAGCUCAAAUUGAAAUCUGGCUUCGGCCCGAGUUGUAAUUGCA
Molecule: ribosomal RNA, 742 nt
Rfam family: 5.8S ribosomal RNA (bases 269-422)